This 459-nucleotide ribosomal RNA is filed under the name uncultured bacterium. RNAcentral's name for it is "bacterial SSU rRNA". It matches the Rfam family "Bacterial small subunit ribosomal RNA", at positions 923 to 1379 of the family's 1533-position model. The record is from RNAcentral.
GCACAAGCGGUGGAGCAUGUGGUUUAAUUCGACGCAACGCGCAGAACCUUACCAGCCCUUGACAUCCCGGUCGCGGACUCCAGAGACGGAGUUCUUCAGUUCGGCUGGACCGGAGACAGGUGCUGCAUGGCUGUCGUCAGCUCGUGUCGUGAGAUGUUGGGUUAAGUCCCGCAACGAGCGCAACCCCCGUCCUUAGUUGCUACCAUUUAGUUGAGCACUCUAAGGAGACUGCCGGUGAUAAGCCGCGGGGAAGGUGGGGAUGACGUCAAGUCCUCAUGGCCCUUACGGGCUGGGCUACACACGUGCUACAAUGGCGGUGACAAUGGGACGCUAAGGGGCAACCCUUCGCAAAUCUCAAAAAGCCGUCUCAGUUCGGAUUGGGCUCUGCAACUCGAGCCCAUGAAGUUGGAAUCGCUAGUAAUCGUGGAUCAGCAUGCCACGGUGAAUACGUUCCCGGGC